Vombatus ursinus (common wombat) is the source of this 404-nucleotide long non-coding RNA. NCBI's taxonomy places the organism in Eukaryota, Metazoa, Chordata, Mammalia, Diprotodontia, Vombatidae. The record is from Ensembl.
GCCGCGGCGGCAGGCCAGGAGAGGAAGAUGUUGAACUGGAGAGAGAAAGGAGGAGAAAAGAUUGGGGGGCUGGGCGGGAGGAGAAGGGUGUGUCUGAGGCCUCCGGCCCCUCUCCCACCUGCUCCCACAGAGACAAUGACAAGAUAAAAAAGAAAAUACUGAAGCUUAAGGAACGCCACGAAUCUCUGCAAGACGAUAUCUACACGCUGGAGGAACGUCUGUGUUCUUGCACCUGCCCUGAGAACCGAUCGAACCACGAACACAAAGAGAGCAAAAGGGCUGCGAACACAGGGCGACGGCUCCCGUGAGUACCCGAGGCCGGAUGCACCACCCCGUCCCCCCACGGAAACAAACCCCCUCUGGGGUUCAAUAAACUUCUCUCCGGGGCUGGGAACCCCUCUGAU